This 292-nucleotide ribosomal RNA is filed under the name uncultured bacterium. RNAcentral describes it as "partial 16S ribosomal RNA". It matches the Rfam family "Bacterial small subunit ribosomal RNA", at positions 505 to 796 of the family's 1533-position model. The record is from RNAcentral.
GUGCCAGCCGCCGCGGUAAUACGAAGGGGGCUAGCGUUGCUCGGAAUUACUGGGCGUAAAGGGCGCGUAGGCGGGUCGAUAAGUUGGGGGUGAAAGCCCAGGGCUCAACCUUGGAAUUGCCUUCAAAACUAUCGACCUAGAGUAUGGCAGAGGUGUGUGGAACUCCGAGUGUAGAGGUGAAAUUCGUAGAUAUUCGGAAGAACACCAGUGGCGAAGGCGACACACUGGGCCAUUACUGACGCUGAGGCGCGAAAGCGUGGGGAGCAAACAGGAUUAGAUACCCUCGUAGUCC